Molecule: ribosomal RNA, 332 nt
Filed under: uncultured bacterium
Lineage: Bacteria
Description: bacterial SSU rRNA
Rfam family: Bacterial small subunit ribosomal RNA
Source: RNAcentral
CGCGUAGGCGGUGCGGUAAGUCACCUGUGAAAUCCCCGGGCUUAACUCGGGGCCUGCAGGCGAAACUGCCGUGCUGGAGGGUGGGAGAGGUGCGUGGAAUUCCCGGUGUAGCGGUGAAAUGCGUAGAGAUCGGGAGGAACACCUGUGGCGAAAGCGGCGCACUGGACCACUACUGACGCUGAUGCGCGAAAGCUAGGGGAGCAAACAGGAUUAGAUACCCUGGUAGUCCUAGCCCUAAACGAUGAUUGCUUGGUGUGAUCGGUACCCAAUCCGAUUGUGCCGCAGCUAACGCGAUAAGCAAUCCGCCUGGGGAGUACGGUCGCAAGGCUGAA